Anguilla rostrata (American eel) is the source of this 722-nucleotide long non-coding RNA. RefSeq lists it as uncharacterized. The record is from RefSeq and is a predicted model, not a curated record. The transcript has 2 exons. Lineage: Eukaryota; Metazoa; Chordata; Actinopteri; Anguilliformes; Anguillidae.
UAUGCAAAACAUUCCUGUUCACGAUCUCUUGUUCUUCAGCUUUGUUUUUUUUCCCUCCAUCUCUUCUCUCGUUCGAGCAUUCUCACUCGCGAGCUUGCCAAAGAGUGACUCAACAAUCAAAUAUCUGCUAUGGAGAAAUAGAACAUCUAAAUAAGAAAACUAUCAGCAUGGGAAAUGUAACCAGAAGGCAAAGCUACCUGCUGUUUAAACAAAUACGAUUCCAUAUAAUUCUGUCACCGUUCCAAAAAAGCCUGCCUGUCUUAAGGAAGUUCCAAAGCUCCAGGGAGGACGUUUCUGUCUUAGGGGACGCAUAAGUAACUACUUGCCCGGAACAGACGUUUGAAUGUCGGAGCUGGCCACCAGCAGCGAUGCAUAACAGUUUCUGAUUGUGUGAAGAUCAUGGCGGAACUCCCCGGAGAUACUCGACGCUUGGGUGGCGCUGGACGUUGCUAUGCUGAGACGCAAUCGACUCAUAUUAGCUCCUGGAGAAUCGCUUAAUGUUUGUCAGGCCUGGACUUGGUUCUCGACGCAAAAUCGCUGAGUACGUUUCUAGGGAAAUGUCCUCGAGUUGCUCUCUUGCAAAAGCACCUGCAGCCAAGGGAGAAAAACAGUGGACGUCUUGUGAGGGCUGAGCGGUCUCUCUUCACAUGCAGCCAAAUGGCUGCUCGGGGAACUGAAUGGAAGUUGUAAAAAAAAAAAAAAAAAAAAGAUGAAAAAUAAAA